AGCAGUCGCCGCGGUAAUGCGAAGGGUGCAAGCGUUACUCGGAAUUACUGGGCGUAAAGCGUGUGUAGGUGGUUGUUUAAGUCUGUCGUGAAAGCCCUGGGCUCAACCUGGGAAUUGCGAUGGAUACUGGGCGACUAGAGUGCGGUAGAGGAUAGUGGAAUUUCCGGUGUAGCAGUGAAAUGCGUAGAGAUCGGGAGGAACAUCAGUGGCGAAGGCGGCCAUCUGGGACAACACUGACGCUGAGGCACGAAAGCGUGGGGAGCAAACAGGAUUAGAUACCCCAGUAGUCCCUGUCUCUUAUAC
This 303-nucleotide ribosomal RNA is filed under the name uncultured bacterium. Its description in RNAcentral is "partial 16S ribosomal RNA". It matches the Rfam family "Bacterial small subunit ribosomal RNA", at positions 507 to 807 of the family's 1533-position model. The record is from RNAcentral.